ACCAGCAGCAUACCACCCUGCAUCCCACUGCUGGCUUUCCUCUGAAGCUAAGCAGGGUUGGUCCUGGAUGGGAGACCAGAUGCUGCUGGAA
Ribosomal RNA from Hucho hucho (huchen), 91 nucleotides. Lineage: Eukaryota; Metazoa; Chordata; Actinopteri; Salmoniformes; Salmonidae. The record is from Ensembl.